This 633-nucleotide ribosomal RNA is filed under the name Halomonas sp. LAR05P10. RNAcentral describes it as "bacterial SSU rRNA". It matches the Rfam family "Bacterial small subunit ribosomal RNA", at positions 454 to 1085 of the family's 1533-position model. Lineage: Bacteria; Pseudomonadati; Pseudomonadota; Gammaproteobacteria; Oceanospirillales; Halomonadaceae. The record is from RNAcentral.
CUAAUACCCGGGAGGAAAGACAUCACCCACAGAAGAAGCACCGGCUAACUCCGUGCCAGCAGCCGCGGUAAUACGGAGGGUGCGAGCGUUAAUCGGAAUUACUGGGCGUAAAGCGCGCGUAGGUGGCUUGAUAAGCCGGUUGUGAAAGCCCCGGGCUCAACCUGGGAACGGCAUCCGGAACUGUCAGGCUAGAGUGCAGGAGAGGAAGGUAGAAUUCCCGGUGUAGCGGUGAAAUGCGUAGAGAUCGGGAGGAAUACCAGUGGCGAAGGCGGCCUUCUGGACUGACACUGACACUGAGGUGCGAAAGCGUGGGUAGCAAACAGGAUUAGAUACCCUGGUAGUCCACGCCGUAAACGAUGUCGACUAGCCGUUGGGUCCUUCGCGGACUUUGUGGCGCAGUUAACGCGAUAAGUCGACCGCCUGGGGAGUACGGCCGCAAGGUUAAAACUCAAAUGAAUUGACGGGGGCCCGCACAAGCGGUGGAGCAUGUGGUUUAAUUCGAUGCAACGCGAAGAACCUUACCUACCCUUGACAUCCUGNGAAUCCUUCAGAGANGGNGGAGUGCCUUCGGGAACCCAGAGACAGGUGCUGCAUGGCUGUCGUCAGCUCGUGUUGUGAAAUGUUGGGUUAAGU